GUCAGGAUGGCCGAGUGGUCUAAGACGCCAGACUCAAGUUCUUGGGGCAUGGGUUCAAAUCCCACUCCUGACA
This is a non-coding RNA of Carcharodon carcharias (great white shark), 73 nucleotides long. NCBI's taxonomy places the organism in Eukaryota, Metazoa, Chordata, Chondrichthyes, Lamniformes, Lamnidae. The record is from the annotation of a RefSeq genome assembly.